RNAcentral lists this ribosomal RNA (926 nucleotides) under uncultured Bacteroidota bacterium. Its description in RNAcentral is "bacterial SSU rRNA". It matches the Rfam family "Bacterial small subunit ribosomal RNA", at positions 1 to 917 of the family's 1533-position model. The record is from RNAcentral. Lineage: Bacteria; Pseudomonadati; Bacteroidota.
UGGAUCCAGACUUUGAUUAUGGCUCAGGAUGAACGCUAGCUACAGGCUUAACACAUGCAAGUCGAGGGGAAACGAUAUUGGAAGCUUGCUUCCGAUAGGCGUCGACCGGCGCACGGGUGAGUAACGCGUAUCCAACCUGCCCAUCACUUGGGAAUAACCUUGCGAAAGUAAGACUAAUGCCCAAUGACAUUUAUAGAAGGCGUCUGAAAUGAAUUAAAGAUUUAUCGGUGAUGGAUGGGGAUGCGUCUGAUUAGCUUGUUGGCGGGGUAACGGCCCACCAAGGCGACGAUCAGUAGGGGUUCUGAGAGGAAGGUCCCCCACAUUGGAACUGAGACACGGUCCAAACUCCUACGGGAGGCAGCAGUGAGGAAUAUUGGUCAAUGGGCGAGAGCCUGAACCAGCCAAGUAGCGUGCAGGAUGACGGCCCUAUGGGUUGUAAACUGCUUUUAUAGGGGAAUAAAGUGAGCCACGUGUGGUUUUUUGCAUGUACCCUAUGAAUAAGGACCGGCUAAUUCCGUGCCAGCAGCCGCGGUAAUACGGAAGGUCCGGGCGUUAUCCGGAUUUAUUGGGUUUAAAGGGAGCGUAGGCCGGAGAUUAAGCGUGUUGUGAAAUGUAGAUGCUCAACAUCUGAACUGCAGCGCGAACUGGUUUCCUUGAGUACGCAUAAAGUGGGCGGAAUUCGUGGUGUAGCGGUGAAAUGCUUAGAUAUCACGAAAAACUCCGAUUGCGAAGGCAGCUCACUGGGGCGCAACUGACGCUGAAGCUCGAAAGCGCGGGUAUCGAACAGGAUUAGAUACCCUGGUAGUCCGCGCGGUAAACGAUGGAUGCCCGCUGUUGGGCCAACUGGUUCAGCGGCCAAGCGAAAGCAUUAAGCAUCCCACCUGGGGAGUACGCCGGCAACGGUGCAACUCAAAUGAAUUGACGGA